UACGGGGGGGGCAAGCGUUGUUCGGAAUUACUGGGCGUAAAGGGCUCGUAGGCGGCCAACUAAGUCAGACGUGAAAUCCCUCGGCUUAACCGGGGAACUGCAUCUGAUACUGGAUGGCUUGAGUUCGGGAGAGGGAUGCGGAAUUCCAGGUGUAGCGGUGAAAUGCGUAGAUAUCAGGAGGAACACCGGUGGCGAAGGCG
This 200-nucleotide ribosomal RNA is filed under the name uncultured bacterium. RNAcentral describes it as "partial 16S ribosomal RNA". It matches the Rfam family "Bacterial small subunit ribosomal RNA", at positions 524 to 723 of the family's 1533-position model. The record is from RNAcentral.